This 253-nucleotide ribosomal RNA is filed under the name uncultured bacterium. RNAcentral describes it as "partial 16S ribosomal RNA". It matches the Rfam family "Bacterial small subunit ribosomal RNA", at positions 524 to 776 of the family's 1533-position model. The record is from RNAcentral.
AACGUAGGUACCGAGCGUUAUCCGGCUUUACUGGGCGUAAAGCGUGUUCAGGCGGCCUGGCAAGUCGGGCAUGAAAUCUCUCGGCUCAACCGAGAGAGGCUGUCCGAUACUGCUGGGCUUGAGGACGGUAGAGGGUGGUGGAAUUCCGCGUGUAGUGGUGAAAUGCGUAGAUAUGCGGAGGAACACCAGUGGCGAAGGCGGCCACCUGGACCGUCCCUGACGCUCAAACACGAAAGCGAGGGUAGCGAACGGG